This 309-nucleotide unclassified non-coding RNA is filed under the name uncultured fungus. RNAcentral describes it as "sequence contains 5.8S rRNA gene". The stretch from base 1 to 53 matches the Rfam family "5.8S ribosomal RNA", at positions 102 to 154 of the family's 154-position model. Lineage: Eukaryota; Fungi. The record is from RNAcentral.
GAACGCACCUUGCGCCCUUUGGUAUUCCGAAGGGCAUGCCUGUUUGAGUAUCAUUAAUAUCUCACUCUUGAUUCCCUUUGUGGGAUCCAGACGUGGACUUUUGGAGGCUUGUGCUGGCCAUAACUGGUCGGCUCCUCUUAAAUGCAUUAGCGGAACUCUAUGCGGUCCCAGCCUCGGUUUGAUAAUCCUAUCUAUGCUGUCGCUGUUGGACUGUGCUGUUUGGCUUACAGUUGUCUUCGGACUGUCACUUUUGUGGCAUAACUUUUAAACUUGAUCUCAAAUCAGGUAGGACUACCCGCUGAACUUAAG